GCGGAACCCGUCAUCAGCUAAGUACAGAGCGGGCGGCGGGCGGGGCGGCGGCCGGGGAAAUUGCCGGUUCCCGUGCCCCGCGGGGCCUGCGGGCGCCCCGAGUCUGGGGGCCCGGGGCGGGCGGGCCGGGGUCCGGGGGAUCCCGGGGGGUCACGGGCGGCCCGGGUCCGAGUGCGCCGGUACUGAGCUCGAGAACGGCCCCCGCUGGGGAAGGAGCCGCUGGCAGCGCGGGGGCCGCGCGCAGGGCAGGGGGCGGCGGCGGCGCCGGCGCGGGCGGGGAGGGAGGGCGCGGCUCCGGGCGCGGGGCCAGGUCGGGCGGCCCGGGGCUCCGCGGGGGACGCGCGGCGAGGACGCGGGGCUCUCGGCACCCCUCUCCCGUAGCGGGGCCCUGCCCCGGCUCUUAGAAAGAGCAUUGGGCUCCGGGCCAGAGCGCCGUGGGGCCAGCGCCCCAGCCCUUAGUGAAUUGCUUCAUCUGCCACUCAUGUCCUGCGCCCUGGAAGCUGCAGAGAGAGCCUCGGCUCCCCGUGCAAGCGCUGGGCUGACAACUGACAGCGGCGACGCUUGGAAUGAGACGUCCAAGGGUUCAAGGGUCAACUCUUUCCUCCAGGCCUAGCAGAUCAUAGAUACUCCUUCUUCUUAAACUUAUUAAGGAAAAAGGCAGUCACUCAUGCCUUCCGCCAACAAAUAUUGACUGAGCACCUACUAUGCGCUAGACAUGCUGCUAGGCCUUGAGGAUGGAGGGGUGAAUGAGACAGGCAAAGCCUCAUGUUCUUUUGGUGGAGACAAGCAAUAAACACUUGAAUACACAUCUCAGACAAGAUAGUGCUGCAGAUGGUGAUGGGUGUCAGGGAGACUCCUCAUCACCUGAGGCAAGGGGAAAAGGCAUUGUGGGAGACGGGGGAGCUGUUCUAUUUGAGACUCAGUGGCCCCAGAGGAAGGGCUUCCUGGGACAGUGCCCUUUAAGCUGAGACCUGAGCAAAGCGUGAGAUUUAGCAAGGCAAUUUUCUAAGGGAAGGUUUUUUAGAUAAAGCAGACUGCAGGUGCAAAGUUCCCAGCCCUUGCUGGUAGAAUGAUCUCUCAGGCUCCUGAGCCCCCAAAGCACAAGAUUGCACCCCUUCCUCUGACAAGAGAGGAAGCGUGAAGCCCAGAUCUGGAGUCAGGCAGACCUGGCUUUACAUUCUGGCCCUGGUACUCACUAGCUGUGUGACCUUGCACACAUCACUUAGCCUCUCUGAGUGGUAGUUCCUGCGUCUGUCACAUGGGGAGAAUAAUGCUCUGUUCUUUACAGGUUUGUGUGAGGAUUCAAUGAAGUAACACCAAAAUGUUGCAAGCCCAGACUUGGGCAUCCUUAUGUGCUCAAACAAAUGAUCUCUGGGUUCCCUAAGAAGACCUCACCUUCUGCAUCUGAAAACUAGGUCUCUCUGACUCGGAGUGAAAAGCGAAUUUACCUUUCCCCAUCCUGGUGGCAACGAGGGGGCCCAUGGUAGAACUGUGCGCAGCUUGGACAAACUCUGGGAGAGGGGUCCCAGCUGGGGUUUCCUGUUGGACGCCCUUUGGAACUCAGAGCCCCGUUGACAGGAGGAGAGAGGAGCAGUUGAUUGGACAGCUCCCCACCCAGCCAGCCACACUAUCCGAGUCUCAGGCAUUUGGUGGAGUUCAGAGAGGAGGCCUCCAGCAAGCCCAGGUCAGGGCCAAGCUGUCACACUGGUGAGGUUCAUACUUCACAUUCUCACCCUCUUCCCCAGGCUUCCCCUCCCUGCCUCCUUUGCUAAACUUGCCCUUCCUUGAGAAAGGACGGGAGCUCAGUCGCUUUACAGCGACUAAGAGAGGAUGUCAGUCUUUGGAGAUACUCCUUCAUUUGACAUGUGGGGAAUCUGAAGCCCAGAGAUGGCAGGGCUUUGCCAGAGGCUACACAGCAGUCCUGAGGAUGAGAAUUCAUGUCAGAGACCCUUGAUCUAGGGCUGUUUCUCUAUGGUACUUCAUAGCCUAGUUCUGCCCAUUUUACAGAUGGAACAAACUGGGGCCCAAAACUGUGACAUAAGCCAGCAAAGGCUUCCCAGGCCAACAUUAGCAAUGAGGAAUGAGGAAUGUACUUUAGGCAGGGGUUGGGGGGAAUGGGAUCCUUCCAGGACCCCUCCAAUUAUUCGUAGACCCACCUGCUUUGAAGAUGAUCUCUGCCUCCCCUCUCCGCCCAGGGAAAAGACAUCUGGAGAGAUCUGUAGCUAUCAGCUCCCCUUUGUCACCCAGGAAUCCUAAAUCUCCCUAUCCUGACAGAUCAGCCCAGCUGGGGCCCAGAUCCACAUUGGUGCCCUUGUCUGUCUGGCUCCCGUGAGAGCUGGCUAUGAUGGUUGUGCACCUGGAGGCCACUAAGGUCAGGGUGGGCACCGCCUCACUCUGCUCCAGGGCUCUAGACCAAUGCCUAGGUAGGAGCUUUUUCUCAAGACUCGGACAUCAACAGCCAGGCCUGGCAUCAAAAGCCUCUCCUCACCUGCAUGUUUGCUGCCAGCUGCUCUGAGGGGUUGCGUUUCAUUUGUUCAUUAGCUCAUUCAUUCAUUCUUUCUUGCAUUCAAUAUCUCUAGAGAACCUGCAAGGUGCCAGGCACUGCCCCACACAUUGAAGGUAGAGCAGCAAACAAGAUGGUGGGGCCCUGCCUCCUGGAGCUCACUUUCUGGGGUGGGGAGACAGGCAGUAAAUCAAUAUACACAAGACAGAAGGUCAGAUGGAGGUAUCAAGGUGAGGCGGUGGUGCAUGAUGGGGGUGUUCUUUUAGACCAGGUAGUUGAGCAGCGGCCAUGAAAAAGUGGGGGUAGCGGGUCGGGGGUUCCUUGCUGAUGUCUGGGGGAGAAAUUUAGAAAGAGGGGCCUGUAAGUGUCAAGGCCAUGAGGGAGAAACAUGCCUGGUGUUUUGGGGGAUAGCAAGGAACGCAGUGUGGCUGGAGUGAGGGGGACAGAUGAGCGCGUGGGCAGGGAUGAGACUGGAGAAGGGAGGGGCCGCACAGUGGGGGGGUGGGCGGAUGGGGGACCCUCAAGGCACCGAGCUGCCCCACUUAUUCCGUGUCAGCCUCUGUCCAGCCCCUGCCUUGGGUGGCACCGUGCUGUCCCAGGCAGCGUGGACAUCAGGAGCUCAUUACAGAGCAGGCUGUCUGAGGGGCUUCUCUGCUUCUGCCACAUCCUCACACCCCUUUCACCUGUCCUAAAAGGCAGGAUGAAAAGGAUGAGAGAGGAAGCUGGCCUCCUGUGAGAAGAUGCUGGACUCAGAAAUCUUUGAAUUCUAGGCUUCACCUCUGAGUGACUGCAUGAACUUGGAAGAGCUACUUAAACGCUCUGAACUUCCGUUUCCAUAUCUGGCUAAAUAUACUGGCAGCACAAAUAGCUAUGAAAGCUAAGGGUCCACCACCCCCUGACCCAGCAGGUACACUCCUAGCUACAGACCCAAGAGAAAUGAGCACACGUGUCCAAAAGGCACGGACAAGGUGUUCGUGGGGGUUGUUCACAAUGGCCCCAAAUGAGUCAACCCUGAGGCUCAUCAUCAGAAGAAUGGCUGAAGCCGUGUGGGAUAGUUGUAGAGUGGAAUAUUUCAUAGCAACAACAUAAUGAAACUGCUGAUAGAUGCAGCAACGUGGAAGAAUCUGACAUUUUGUUGAGUGAAAGAAGCCAGACACACAAGAAUAGGAGCUGUGUGAUUCCAUUAAGCCGAAUUCAAUAACAGGGCCUCACUCUGUCACCCAGGCUGGAGUGCAGUGGCAUGAUAUCAGCUCACUGCGGCCUCAACCUCCCAGGCUGAAAGGAUCCUUCUGCCUCAGCCUCCGGAGUAGCUGGGACUACAGGUGCCACCACACCUGGCUUUUCAUGGCUUAUCUUGUUUCAUCCCCUGCUCUCCCACAAUGACCAAGUUACUUCUGAAGCGAAUCCUAGAUGUCGUAUCAUUUCAUUCCUAUUCAAUAUUAUGUCUAAAAGACAUGGAUUCCUUUUCUUUGUUUGUUUUGCUUUUGAGAUGGAGUUUCACUCUUGUUGCCCAGGCUGGAGUGCAAUGGUGCGAUCUUGAUUCACCGCAAGCUCCACCUCCCGGGUUCAAGCCAUUCUCCUGCCUCAGUCUCCCGAGUAGCUGGGAUUACAGGCAUGUGACACCACACCUGGGUAAUUUUGUAUUUUUAGUAGAGACAGGGUUUCUCCAUGUUGGUCAGGCUGGUCUCGAACUCCCGACCUCAGGUGAUCCACCUGCCUCGGCCUCCCAAAGUGCUGGGAUUACAGGCGUGAUCCACCAUGCCCGGCCAUGGAUUCCUUUUUUAAAAAGCCACAAUACCCUUAUCACAUAUAAAAUGUGUGCCAUUAUCACUCUUCCUAUCAUGAACUCUCCAGUCAGUGCUCACAUUUCCCAGUGUCUCAUGAAUGUCAUCAUUUCUCUUUUUUCAACUUGUUUGUUUGAAUCAGGAUACAAAUAAGGUCACUGUGUUCCAAUUGGUUUAUGUGUCUUUAAGUUACUUUGUUUGAAAGUCAUUUGGAAUAGUUUUUCUCUUUGUGGUAUUAAAGUAAAUUAAAAUGAAGACCAGGCCUAAAGAAUCCCUGAGCAAACAAAACCAGUUAGGCUCAGAAGUAGCCAACAAACUUAUAAUUAUAUAAUGAGGGACUUUCCUAUGGGAUAGAUUAAAUAAGGCAACUGUAUAACUGUAACCAAUCAAAUAUUUUCUUUGCUUUACUUCUGUGUUCCUUGUAUAAAAACCCAUCCCUUGUGUUCCCUCACUUCUGGUUUGGAACUGCCCAAUUCAUGAAUUGUUGUUUGCUCCUAUAAAUUCUUUAAAAUUUUAUUGUGCCUCAGUUUACUUUUUUCUUAUUUUUAGAGACAGGGUCCAGAUCUGUUACCCAGGCUGAAGUGCAGUAGCAUGAUCUUAGCUCACUGCAGCCUCAAAUUCCUCAAUCCUCCUGCAUCAGCCUCCUGAGAAGCCAGGACUACAGGUGCACAGCAGCACACCUGGCUAAUAUAUAUAUUAGAAACAGGGUCUUGCUAUGUUCCCCAGGCUGGGCUAGAGCUCCCAGCCUCAAGUGAUCCUCCUGCCUCAGCCUCCUAAAGUGCUGGCAGAGGUGAGCCACUGGGCCUGGCCUCAGUUUAAUUUGAAUGGUGGUUAAAUAAUUAAUUCAAUGUGUAGAUUUAUUUGCUUUAUUUUACUUUAGGUUUUUAGAAUUUUUAAAGCUUUUUAUUUAGAAAUUUAUUUAAAGAUUUUAAAUUUUAUUUCUGGUUCCAAAAUCUAUCAUACAAAUAUAUCCAGAAAGGUCUAGCUUUUAUGCCCCUUUCAAUCCUUUCCCUUCCCCAUAACUAUUAAUUUUUAAACAUUAUUCUUUAUUAUUACAUUAAUUUAAUAUGUAUCACAUACAUAAUGCAUAUGUAUUCGUAUCCCUCCCUCCUUUUUUUUUUUUUUUGUUUGAGAUGAGGAUCUCACUAUGUUGCCCAGGCUGGACUUGAAAUCCUAAAUUCAAGCAAUCCUCCUGCCUCAACCUCGAGUAGCUGGGACUACAGGUAUACGCCUCCACGUUUGGCUCUUCCUUCCUUUUAGGUAAGGAUUAGCAUGCAAUGACACUUCUCUGCCUCUUGCUGUAUUCACUGUCCAUCCCACUCCAGCUGUCUCUCCCUAGUAGUUGGUCAAGAUUGUCCUCAGUCCCCUUUACAGCCACAGAGUCCUCCAUUGUGCUGAUAACCACAGGCCUCUGCUGAUGGACAUUUUCCUUGCUCCCAUUCUUUAGCGAUUACAAAUUGAAUUGCAAUAAAAAGCCUGUGCUUACACCUUUUGGUAUUUUUGCUAGUGUCUCUCUACGGUAGAUUCCCAGCAAUGGGAUUCUUGAGUCAAAGGUUGAACAUACAUGCAAUUUUGCUAUAGCUAUUGCCAAAUUCCCCUGCAGAAGGCCUGCAUCAUUUUGCAUUCCCGUCAGCUCUGGCUAGGAGUGCCAGCAGAAUGCAUUGCCAAACUUUUGGAUUUUUGACAAUCUGAUAGGUAGGAAAUGGUAUCUCUGAGUAGUUUUAAUUUGCAUUUCUUUUGUUUGAGCAAUGUUGAUCAUAUUUUCACAGGGUUAUGAGCCAUUUGCAUUUCUUUGUCUGUGAAUUGUGUGUUAAUAUUUUUGUUUUGUUUUUGAGACUGAGUCUUGCUCUGUCACCCAGGCUGGAGUGCAGUGGUGCGAUCUCGACUCACUGCAAGCUCUGCCUCCCAGGUUCAUGCUGUUCUGCUGCCUCAGCCUCCCCAGCAGCUGGGACUAGAGGUGCAGGCCACCACGCCCAGCUAAUUUUUUUUUUUUUUUUUGUAUUUUUAGUAGAGACGGGGUUUCACCGUGUUAGCCAGGAUGGUCUCAAUCUCCUGACCUCGUGAUCUACCCGCCUCAGCCUCCCAAAGUGCUGGGAUUACAGGCGUGAGCCACUGCGCCCGGCCAUUGUCUGUUAAUAUUUUUAGCCCAUUUGUCUAGGAAGUUGUUCGUUUUUCCCUUCUCUACUUUUAGAAGCCAUUCACUAGAGACAUUCAUGCUUUGCCUGUGAUACAGGUUGCAAGUGUUUUCUGCCGUUUGUCAUUUGUCUUCUUUCUUUCUCUGUUUGUUUGUUCGCUUAUUUAUUCAUUUAUUCUGGGGAUGUAGCCAUGAACAGGGUGACCCUGAGGGGCUCCACUGACAUGCACAGCCCAAGUCAGAACCUUGGAUGGUCCUGUAUGCGCCUCGUCCCAACCCUUCCCUGUGCUGUCCUUUCUGCCUCUGACCCCUCUCCUGCUGCCCAGUGACCACCCUGCCCCUGUCCUUCCCUGCCUGGGCCCUCAGCAUCACCCAGUCUGAGCUCACAGAGGACUGGAAACAAGCCUGUUUGUCUCUGUAUCCCCCCCACGACGUGCAGGGCAACUGAUCAGUGAAUGAGUGAAUGAAUGAAUGAAUGAAUGAAUGAAUCCUGUGUGGCUAAAACAGCCUCUCCGCCCAGGAAGCCAAGUCAGAGAGGAGCUUGGAAGAGCACUUUCGAGAUCAAGGUUUCUUCACCCCUUGCAUUCUCUUCAGACCUAACUCAGGUCUGAGUUUCUACUCCCAAAUGCCUCACAGGCAAUAUAUGAUGCCUGCUUCUUUUCAUGAUUUAAAAGAACACUCGCUUAUUGUAGAAAAUGUGGAAAAUACAGCAGUACAAAAAAAGAAUUAGAAAUUCUCCAUUAACUCAUUGCCCAGAGGAAACGGCCGUGGGCAUUUUGGUGUAUUUUUAUUCAACUUUGAAAGACAUAUUUUAUUUUUACACAUUUUAUUUUAUACAGUAUAGACAUACAUAUGCAUACACGCCUCCUCUCAUGACAUUAAACUUUUGCACAACUUCACAAUUGUAAAUGAUCACAGAAAAAUGCCUCAAAAUGAAUGUAUCAUAUCCUAGCCCCACCACUUAACCUCUCUGUGCCUCAGUUUUCUCCUCUGUAAAACGGGGAUAAUAAUAGUAUCUACUUUAUAAGUUGCUUGUAAGGGUUCAAUGUGAUUAUGGUGUGAAUGUGGGAAGCGCUCAGAAAGUAUCAUUUUCAUUAUUAUUAGAACUAUUAUUCCUUAAUUGCAAACAUUUAAAUUCUAAUUUUAUUCUAUUGCAAAUGACACUGUAAUGAAUCUCUCUGCUCGGGAGGGUUGUGUGGGAACCUCAGGGAGCUUGCUUCACCCACCCCCGCCCCCCAAAUUAAGCACAACAGGGACAGAGAGAGCGAGGUGUGCUGGGAGGCCCCGUGGCUAAAAGUUAGGAGACCAGAUCUUGGCACUGGCAGCCUGGGGAAGGAGGGCAAAGGGGUGGGGGUGCAGGGAAUGGCAUCUGUGAAAGCUCAGAAGCUUCUAGAAGAGCAUGGGAAGUUCUGAUGUGGUUGCUGGGAUGGCAGUUCUUGUCCCUAUUUGACCUAUGGGUAAUUGAGGGCCAGGAAAGGGGUGACUUGUCUGAUGACGUGGAUGGGCACCAAGUCUGAGCUUCCUGGCUCUCCACAUGCCUGAAAAACAUCUGUGUUUGUUGGGAGAAGGAGAUGAAGAAGAGGAGGAGGAGGAAGAAUUUGGGGCUUUCGAAGCAUGCAUGCCUGUGUGCCCCUGCCCAAUCAAGGUUCAGCUGUCCUGCAAAGCAACCCAGCGGGUCCUGUGAGCUGGAGGCCAGUUUGCCCUGUUUGUCUCCAUGGGUCUUUUCCCUGAUGUCUCCCAAACAGAGACCGUUGGGCUGGCAGCUGGCAGGUCUCCUGAGCUCCACCCUCACCUCCCAUCCCUUCAACCCAGUAGCCUUGCAGACAAAGGCUGGAAAGCCAGGUCCCAUUUCCAGUCAUCAUCCACAGUGCAUAAUUAGGCAGUGCUUGCCUUGUGUUUAUUUAAAGAAGGAGUGUGAACUUGGCAUCAGUGCUUCUGCCAAGAGGGAAGAGCCCCGGAAGGCCCAGAGAAAGCUGGGGGCUUGGGCAGCAGGGGUUUGAGGCCUGAGAGGCCAGGCCGGCCUGUGGUAUAGACAUCGACAAGCAAAGUUUGAGGACUCCUGAAAGUUCUCCAAAAUCUUACCUGCUACCUGUCACCAUUCUCAGUCCGUUAUUAGAACUGUAGCUUCUCAACAGCUUUCUAAGUUCCAAAGAAAAUGCAAAUUAAUACUUCUUGGGGCGCCUCUAUCCUUUAUGGUCUGAAUUUGAGAACAUUGCAAUAGCAGCCUCAUUGCUGCACUAGUCCAAACACUUCUGUGUAACCCUCUUCCACAUGCAGUACUGAGGAGUUCUUGCUGCCUACUGUUUACAGAGGGUAGUCCAAGAAAUAAGAAAUGUCAGUCCCACAUGGUGAAAACUCUGCACUCUAGGGCUUGGGAAUUAUCUGCUAAUAAGACCUGACAUUUCUGAAGGCCAUUAUGAGUUAAACCUCAGGCUCAGAAUGUAUAAUGGGGAGAGAUUCUAGAUACUUCUAGACCACUCUUCUCAUGGAGUAGAAAAAAAUGUAGAGAAACCUCAGAGAGGGGAAGGGACUUACCUACACCAGUUAACGGUAGAGCUAGGACUAGAACACAGGUCUCCUGAUUUCAGUCUCAACUCUCAGGCACCAUGUUGCUUCCCUCCAUUCAAAGAUCAGUGAGGGGGCAGUCAGCACCAGCUGGAGUGUGGCAGUGAAGAGCUCACAGUCCCUGCCCAAGAGGAGCUCCCAGAGGCUGACAAGGGUAUGGGAACAGGGACUCAUCUGAAUCAGAGUGGGUGGAGUUUAGACAGGGGUGGGUCUGAAGAACUGUGGGGAACAGGGUGGUGAGACAGACAUCAGCAAAUUUCCCAAGGGGGUUAGCACAGGAGGUUGAAGGAUGAAUGGGGCUUCUUUACCAGGAGACAUAGGGAAAGGUGUUCCGGGAAAAGGGAAGGGCAAACUCAUGGGAAAAGGAGGCUGAUUUCUCCUGUUCCCAGGUUACAGUGGAUUCCCUGCGGGCUUAACCAGGAUCCCUAGCGCUCAGUGCAGACCCUCCCACGGCAGGGCCCGAGGCUGUAAUCUGUAACCUUAUUGUGACAUAUAUAGUUACAAAGAGAUUGGUUGGACAGGAUGGAUUUUAAUCGAAAAGAGUUAGCCUCUACUGGUGGAAAUGCGGACAUUGUGGCAGGUGAUGAGAAGAAUCCUUUUUGGGGUAGCAGUGGUGAAAACGCUUGCAUGGGUGCGCUGGCAUGCGUGCAGGGACACCUCUUCCUUGUUCUCAAUUCUGUUGACUUUCAAAUUGCAGUUUAAGAGCCAUCUUCCCAUGUCCAACUGUUAAGGUGGCCACUACCCCCUCCCUCUUCUGGACCAUGCCAUCCCCUGCUCUGAGUCUCAGUUUCUCCACAUGUAAAAUGAGGCAGGUGGACUUGCUUGUCUUAAAGGCCCCUUCUGCCUGGGGCUGGUUCUUUAGCCCAGUCUCUGCUUCUCCCUCUGCGGGGAUGUCAGAGGCGCCCUCUCGUGGUCAAUAUUGGCCAUGCAUCCUUGGACUUGGCGCAGGUUUUUGCUUGGCCUCUGAGGGUGUGUGCUUGUGUGUGCAUGUGCGUGUGAGCGUGCCUGUGUACUGGGAGUGGUUACACAGCGGGUGCGUGACAGGCUCAUGACACAUAGAAUGCAGAGCUUCGCUAACUCUCAGACCCUGAUGAAAACACAGAUAAGGAGGUGGGGGUCAUUUAAAAUAAGGGCAAAACCUGCUAAAAGCUUCCUGGGGCCCUUGCCUGGGACACCUAGAGUUCCAAAAUGCCCUAGGCCACCCAUCUUGCUAAUAUACUUUGAGAGCAUCACUCCUCUGCUCAGAAUCUCAUCCUGCCACCCCUCUGCUGAACAGAGUAAACAUCAAACUCCUGGCCCUCCAGAAUACCUGUGGCCUCACUUCUCACUCUUCUUUCCUAUACCACUCCAGGUGAACCACUCCAUCCUUCCCAUCCCCUAUCCUCAGCUUAUGCUGGGAUUUUUUUUCCCAGAGUGUCCUACCCUCUCCUUUAGUCCCCCAUAGCACCUUUCAAGAUGUGGCUAAAAUGCCACCUCCUCCAGGAAGACUCCCUGAAUUUUCCCACUUGGAUCUGUGCUCUCUUUCCUCUGAACCUCCUGGCAACUUUGUCUAUAACUGUCUCCUGGGAUGUAGACAGUUUUAGAGUUUACCCAGGUAAUUUAGGUCGAAGAUGUCCUGUUUUGUUCCCCCUACUCAAAAACUGGCUCCAUGACUGCUUUAUAUCUGGGUCCUUCUAAAUACUGAGCCUUCCCCAUGGCAUCCAGGCAUCCCUCUGCAAGGCCCUGAUUCCCACUCCUUCCCUCUGCCUCCUCCUUCAGUAGGGGCUGCUGUCAUGCAAGGAGGUCUGGCAGUGGAGGAAGAAGACAUGAGCCUUGGGCCAGACUCUUACUGGAUUCCCACCCCACCUGCCCCGUCUUCAGCAGACAAGCUGGUACCCAGCACAAAGGCUCCAGCUGCUGAGCUGUGUGUGGGAGCCUGGUCUCUGGGUGCCCAGAAUGAAGGGUCAGACCCAGGUCACUGCCUGACUCUUUCUUUCAAGGACCGAAGUAAGAACUACAGGCCUAACAGUAACAUCCCUGGCUAUUUGUAGAAGUCCGCUUGGUCGGUCCAUGCUCUAUAACAUGAAUUUCUCAUACAACCCAUUUUUAGAUGGGGAAACAAGAGCUCAGAGAGGCUAGGUAACUUGUUCAAGAUCACACAGCUCUGAGUGCAAGUGUUCAAACAUAGUCCCCACUUUCCAUCCGUCUCCAAAUCCUGUGCAGUUUCUGGAAUAUUCUGCUGUCACUGUGCCUUGCACAAAUCCAGGUUUUGAUAAAUUCCUGGAUAAUAAAAGGCAGACAUGAGUCAACAUAUAACCAGCUCUUUCUCUUUGACUUCCAUAUUGCCCCAGGCCCACACGCGGACCUCUGCAUGAGGGAAGAGUGACAGAACUGGGUUUGUCUGAGAGGGUGAUGGCUCGGGGGGCCAAAGGGAGAGGUGAACCCUGCAUCCCAGGAGGGGUGAAUUCUCUGAUGUGAAUCAUCUGGGUGGUAGGGAGUAAUGGGUCCUGGGCAUGGUGGGGACUGUCACACCCUGAUGCGCUGUCCCAGUUAGGUUGGAGGAGGCUGGGAGGGCCAUCUGACCACAAUGCAGGUCUGUUGCGGACCUCAAGGAGCCUGCAGGGAGUGCAGCCACCUCAGGCACACACCUUGGUGAUAGAUUUUACUGCUCAGCUGCUGAAGCCAUUGGUCAAUGAUGCUCCUCACAGUCAGAGAUCUGAGAGGGGCAUUUUCACAGCCACCACAGACCUUCUGCCUCCCAGGGCCUCCUCACUGGCCUGGCCUGGAGGACUGCCACUGGCACCCACAGUUAGAGGGAAGGAAGUUUCAGGCCUCUGUAACCCAGGAGAGAAGUCCACUAGUCCAGUCCAGGCCAGGUGUCCAGCUCUGGUGGGUGGAACCAUUUGCCCAGCUGUCCUUUGGCUGAGGGUUGGGGCCUGACCUCUGAAGUGAAGGCACCCACAGAGCUGGCCAUUGAGGCAAAUGUCCAGAAUCCUGGGGCAUGGGCACCGGCAGGGGAGAUGAGGUCAUGUGAGAUGUAGGUGCCACUCUCUUGCAGAACCCACCCUCGCACCUUGGCACACAGUGGCUCCACGAGGCCAAGAGCUGGUCUCUUGUUUAUCUGGGUGUAGGGCGUGCACACUGCCUGGAACUGACAGUGUCAGGGACUUCUGCUGGCCAGGACAGACCCCAUGCCUACUCAAUGGCCAUCAGCCCUAGGGCAGCAACAUCAGGAUCUGUCUUCCCCAUUGGUCAGGGGGCUUGUGGUAGGUUCAAACCACUGAUGGCAAGCAGUCCAGGCUCUAGUGUUGGUUUGGGGUCUGGCUCUCUCACUAACCUGAGCAAGUCCCUUACAUCCCCAGGGCUCAGUUUCCUUAUCUGUUGAGUAGAGAUCAUCACACUGAUGGCGAAGAGGCCUUGUGGUAUGGAGGGUUUGGGUUCAACUUUUUUUUUUUUGAGCUGAUUUGAAUCCCAUUUCCCUGGUUAUUUGCUAUAUGGCCUUAGGCAAGUUACUCAAUCUCUUGAAGACUCAAUUUCCCAUCUACAAAAUGGGAGUGAAGAAGAAUCUCUUCUUCUUUCCAAGAAAUGUACAUGUGAGGAUUCAAUAAGGGAACGCUCAGGCAGCUCUGAGCACAGCAUCUGGAGCGUCACUGCGAUGUGGCAGCACGCUCUGCAGCAUGCAGGACAGACACACUCCUUCCUCUCUCCUCCUUCACCUCUUCCCCAGCCCCACCCCUCACAUCUCCUUGGCUAAUGGGUCAAGCAGUGGUCAGUGUCUGGCCAACAGUGGAGACUCAACCAUGCACAGAGAGUGAAAAUGCAGUGCGCACCUCCUGUCCAGGUAGCCCCAACCUCAUUCAUUCACUUCCAGAAUGGCAGGUGCUGUGCUGAAUGCCUGGGAAGAUGGCCCCAAUGUUCCUCCCCAAGGGAUUGCCAGUCACAUCAGCACAGCACGGGAUGGAUCCUGCUGUGCCAACACUCUCUGCAGGCUUGUGGGGACCCUGGCUGAGAUGUCUGGACACCUGGAUUUCAAUCCGGUCUUUGCCAUCCACUCCCUGUGUGGCCCUCCCCCGCAAACUAAAUAAAAAUUUCAUGAGUUGGGGAAGGAGACUCAAGGGGAAGUGAGACGAGAGGACGGAAGUGAGUUGAAGAGCAGGGAGGAGCCUGGAGCCUGGAGCCUGGGCCUCCCUGUGCUGUGAUGUGUGCCAGAGUGGAAGCGGAAGUGGAAGCAGAAGCAGAAGUGGUCCUGCCGGUAGGUGUGACUGGCCUCACAGAGCUGCCAGGAUGCACCUGAGUGCUCAAGAGGGUUUCCCACAGCCCCAGGUGGAUUGGACUCAGAAGCAUGUUUCUGAUGUGCUCAAGAGUGUGGCCCAGACAAGGCACAGAGGACAGGAGUGUCAGAGGCAUUCAAACAAGAGCGACUCCAUCCUGAACGGGGGCUGGGUAAAAUGACGCUGAGGCCUGCCAGGUUGCAUUCCCAGGAGGUUAGGCAUUCUUAAGUCACUGGAUGAGAUAGGAGAGGGGCACAAGAUACUGGUUACAAAGACCCUGCUGAUAAAACAGGUUGCAGUAAAGAAGCUCGCCCAAACCAAAAUGGCAAUGAAAGUAACCUCUGGUCAUCCUCACUGCUCAUUACACGCUAAUUAUAAUGCAUUAGGAUGCUGAAAGACACUCCCACCAGCCCCAUGACAGUUUACAAACGCCAUAGCAACAUCUGGAAGUUACUCUAUAUGACUUAAAAGGAAAAGGAACUCUCAGUUCUGGGAAAUUCCCACCCCUUUCCUGGAAAAUUCAUGAAUAAACCACUCCUUGUUUAGCAUAUGAUCAAGAAAUAACCAUAAAAGUAGCCAACCAGCAGCCCUUCGUGCUGCUCUGCCUGUAGAGUAGCCGUUGUUUUAUUCCUUUACUUUCUUCAUAAACUUGCUUCUGCUUUACUCUGUUGACUCGCUGAUUUUUCUUUCUUGAGACAGAGUCUGGCUCUAUCGCCCGGGCUGGAGUGCAGUGGCGCAAUCUCUGCUUAUUGCAACCUUCACCUCCCAGGUUCAAGCGAUUCUCCUGCCUCAGCCUCCCAAGUAGCUGGGAUUACAGGCAUGCACCACCACACCCGGCUAAUUUUUGUAUUUUUAGUAGAGACGGGGCUCUGCCAUGUUGGCCAGGCUGGUCUCGAACUCCCCACCUCAGGUGAUCUGCCCGCCUCAGCCUCCCAAAGUGCUGGGAUUACAGGCGUGAGCCACCACGCCCGCCUGGAAGAUACUCAUUUUAUGGGAAAUAAUUCCUGGGUCCAAGCAAAGUGGGAGGUAGGUUAGAAGACCCCUGCAUAAAGCUGGGAUCCCAAAGGGCUGCAUCCUCAAUAAAGUAGGGAAAAAAUGUCCACAGAGACUUGUCUGCUUCUGUCUCAACUGCAGUUGGAGCACAGGAAAGAUGGGUUUUCCCUGGAAUCUCUGGGACAAGCCCAGUUUCGUUUCUUUUCUUUUUCUUUUCUUUCUUUCUUUCUUUCUUUCUUUCUUUCUUUCUUUCUUUCUUUCUUUUUCUUUCUUUUCUUUCUCUCUCUCUCUCUCUCUUUCUUUCUUUCUUUCUUUCCUUUCUUCCUUUCUUUUCUUUUCUUUCUUUUUUUUUUUUUUUGAUGGAGUCUCACACUGUCGCCUAGGCUGGAGUGCAAUGGCGUGAUCUUGGCUCACUGCAACCUCUGCCUCCCAGGUUCAAGCGAUUCUCCUGUGUCAGCCUCCCGAGUAGCUGGGAUUACAGGCGACUGCCACCACACCCGGCUAAUUUUUUUGUAUUUUUAGUAGAGAUGGGGUUUCACUAUGUUGGCCAGGCUGGUCUUGAACUCCUGACCUCGUGAUCCACCUGCCUUGGCCUCCCAAAGUGCUGGGAUUACAGGCAUGAGCCACCACGCUCGGCCUCGACAAGCUCAGUUUCAAGUGGAUGUGGCAUCGGAAUUCACACUGCCUAUAUUGCUUCCCUCUCUGACGCCAGAAAAAAACUAACUGAAAAUAUAGUUUCAAGUGUUCCCCAGAUGCCUGAUGAAGCAAUUGUGAAGACUCCCUAGAGGAACGCAUUUUAAAUCUAGGCUUCAAAGUAUUCUCACAAAUAAACUUCCAGGAACAGGAGGUUACACUAAAACAUAUAUAUUUUAAUGCACAUAUAUGUAUAUUAAACAGAAGAGAAAAUAAGCUACAUGACAUGAGAUUCAGCAGAAACAACAUUGCUGAAUCAGACCAACAACAACCAAAGAUAUCGGAAUGAUCUGUUGUAUGUAUAACAUAAAAUAAUUAUGUGUGGUUUGCAUAAAGAAAUUAAAGAUGUGAUCAAAUGUAUGACAAAAGAAUGAGAGACUAUCAAAAGUGAUCAGGUGAAGUUGAAGCAGACCAAAUAGAAUUUCUAGAAAUGACAAAUAAGUUAAAAUUUAAAACUUAAAUUGAAAUGAAAGCCCAACACAUGAAGGGUCAAUUCUGGAAAAGAUGGAGUAAACACACUCUACAUUAUACCUACUGACUGUGAUUCUAAACUACGGACAGGAUGCAUGGGCCAGCUAGCUGAGAACUUGGAAACUGCAUAGUAGCCAAUAUAUUGGAGAAGGAAACAAGAAUUUGAAGUAUGAUUGAACUGGGGUUGAGUUUCCCAUUUAUUUUCCCCCCAGUUUUGCCUGACCUUGACUCACAUGUAGCCCAAAACCUGGAAGAGUGCACCAGGUAGGGGCAGAUAGAGCUCCAAGAGAAUAGAAAGAACUCCUUUUCUGGUUUGAGGAGCAGGAAGGUGGCUCCUAAAGAUCAGAUGUGGGAAGUUUUCCUGUUUAUGUGUUUUUUUCUCCAUCGUCUCCCACUCAAGCUGCCAGGUAGUAUUGCAAUGGAGGCAGUGGCAAUGGUGAUAGCAGCAUUAGCCAAGUAGAUGCCUAAAAUUCUUAGACAGAAAAAACUUCUCCUACCAGAAAAGCCGUGAGCCCAAGAGCAUGGGGAAAUUCCUGUUACUUCUGUCUCCACCCUCACACCCCAAUCCCUCUGCCUUCUGUUCUCCUGCUGCUUGGCCCCAGACACAGAUGCAGUUAUAAGUACAUAGCAGAGCUGGGAAAUUAAAGUCCUAGAUUUCUGGCUGAGGGACUGGAAAAGGAGGCCCCAAAGAGCCAAAAACUGAUGAGGGAGAUUGUAGAGAGGAGAGAGCAUAAAAGAGUGAUCCCAUACUUUUGUGUAUAAACUCCCAGAAUCACCUCCAAACUGUGCAGCAUGGAUCUGAUCCCAAACAAAACAUCAAAGACCUUGAGAACUAGUCUACAUAUGAAACCCAUCUGAAGAGUACUGCAAAUGGCUUUGAAAACUGAAUUGAUAUUGGUACCAGAACCCAGAGAAGGUAGGUGGAACUGGCAGCCUGGACCUAGCCUGGUCACUUGUCUGCUAAAAUUAAAAAAAAAAAAAAAUCAGCAUUCUCUUUAGGAUUUAAACAAGACCACUCACUGGUUCUGUGAGUUAAAAAAAUAAAAAUCGAGAUCCAGAGUCUCAUAACAUACUAUUCAAAAUGUCCAGGAUACAAUCUAAAAUUACUUUGGAUAUGAAAAACUAGAAAAAACUCAACUCACAAUAAAAAGACAAUCAAAUAGAUGCCAACCCUGAGACAACACAGAUGUUGAAAUUAUCAAAGACUUUAAAGCAGCUAUUAUUACCUUACUCCAAGAAGUAAGGGUGAAUACUCUGGAAUGAAUGAAAAAUAGCAAGUCCCAACAAAGAAAUAGAAGAUAUAAAAAAUAACCAAACUGAAAUUACAAAACUGAAAAAUGCAAUUUUAAAAUAAAAAAACAAUAACUGGAAAAACUAGCAGAAUGGAGAUGAGAGAACAAAGAGUCAGGGAACUUGAAUAUAGAUCAAUAGAAAUUAUCCAAUCUGAACAACAAAGAGAAAAAAGAUUGAAAAAAUUGAACAGGGUCUCAGGGACGAGAGGGACAAUACCAAAAUGUCAACUGGUCAUGUAAUCAGAGUCCUGGAAGGAAUGGAGCAACAGUGCAGUUCAGGAAAUAAUAAUUGAAAAAAAAUAACAGCUGGAAACUUCCCAGAAUUACAGCUUCAAGAAAUUCAGCAAACUUC
This 17037-nucleotide long non-coding RNA is filed under the name Homo sapiens (human). RNAcentral's name for it is "non-protein coding lnc-SMAD6-2:5". The record is from RNAcentral. Lineage: Eukaryota; Metazoa; Chordata; Mammalia; Primates; Hominidae.